AUAAUCUCCUCCGUUUUUGCUCCCUAAAAUCCCCAAUUUUUGCGUCGCCGAGCUGCGCAAAUUUCUCGCCGGAGUUCGCGCCGCCGCCGCCAUCGCUGAGCUUCGAAGAACACUAAGAAGCCGGGAAAUUGUCGCCGGAGCUUUCGCCGGAAUUCACCAUCGCCCGGAGCCCCAUCCGUCCGUAGCUGUCACUCGAGAGAGAGGAACACGACGGGAGAGGCAUUACGGUGACCGCUGUUGUCCGCUGCAUCUCGUCGUCCGAGUCUCCAUUGCGAAGAACCAUCAGAGACGCAGGGGACGACGUCGCCAUCCACGCUCGACCACCACGCCGUCUGAUUCAUCCUAAUCGACCAUCACCAGCAGGAUUGCCCGGAUUGCAACGAGUGCGAUUGCGACGACUGUCUGAACACCGACCAAG
This is a long non-coding RNA of Lolium rigidum, 418 nucleotides long. RefSeq lists it as uncharacterized. The record is from RefSeq and is a predicted model, not a curated record. The transcript has 3 exons. Lineage: Eukaryota; Viridiplantae; Streptophyta; Magnoliopsida; Poales; Poaceae.